AUGAGCUCCGGCGGCUGCUCAACGUGCCUGGAGAUCAUCGCCGCCGUGCUCCCGCCGCUCGGCGUCUUCUUCCGGUUCGGCUGCUGCAGCUCGGAGUUCUUCAUCUCGCUGCUGCUCACGGUGCUGGGCUACGUCCCGGGCAUCGUCUACUCCGUCUAUGUCGUCUUGAAGACGCCGCCGGAGCUGCCGGGCAUCGACGGCGACCGCCCCUACUACAUCCUCGCCUGA
Molecule: ribosomal RNA, 228 nt
Filed under: Triticum aestivum (bread wheat)
Lineage: Eukaryota; Viridiplantae; Streptophyta; Magnoliopsida; Poales; Poaceae
Description: partial small subunit ribosomal RNA
Source: RNAcentral